RNAcentral lists this ribosomal RNA (427 nucleotides) under uncultured bacterium. RNAcentral describes it as "partial 16S ribosomal RNA". It matches the Rfam family "Bacterial small subunit ribosomal RNA", at positions 355 to 774 of the family's 1533-position model. The record is from RNAcentral.
UGGGGAAUAUUGCACAAUGGGCGCAAGCCUGAUGCAGCCAUGCCGCGUGUAUGAAGAAGGCCUUCGGGUUGUAAAGUACUUUCAGCGGGGAGGAAGGUGUUGAGGUUAAUAACCUCAGCAAUUGACGUUACCCGCAAAAGAAGCACCGGCUAACUCCGUGCCAGCAGCCGCGGUAAUACGGAGGGUGCAAGCGUUAAUCGGAAUUACUGGGCGUAAAGCGCACGCAGGCGGUCUGUCAAGUCGGAUGUGAAAUCCCCGGGCUCAACCUGGGAACUGCAUUCGAAACUGGCAGGCUAGAGUCUUGUAGAGGGGGGUAGAAUUCCAGGUGUAGCGGUGAAAUGCGUAGAGAUCUGGAGGAAUACCGGUGGCGAAGGCGGCCCCCUGGACAAAGACUGACGCUCAGGUGCGAAAGCGUGGGGAGCAAACA